This is a long non-coding RNA of Corvus hawaiiensis (hawaiian crow), 458 nucleotides long. RefSeq lists it as uncharacterized. The transcript has 2 exons. The record is from RefSeq and is a predicted model, not a curated record. NCBI's taxonomy places the organism in Eukaryota, Metazoa, Chordata, Aves, Passeriformes, Corvidae.
GCGCUUCCGCCGCUCCCGCCCGCCCCGCUGCCAGUGCCCGGCGCUGCCCGUGGCAAGGCGGCCCGGGACGGGCGUGUCGACGCUUCCCCACGGGCGAGACAUGGCUGCUGAGGAGUCCCGCUGCGUGCUGGGUUACGCCACUUCCGACCUGAGGUUUUCCCCUUGCCUGGGCUCCUGCUCCAUGGUUGCUGAUAUCUGAAAUCUUCCUACUUAAAGCGAGAAGCAUACCGAGUGCUGCUUGUGUGUUAACGAACUGGGUUAUGGCCUGUGUAGGAACCAAAGACUUUCACGGUUUUAUGGUAAGCAGCAUGAAUUACUCCUAUUUCUUCAGUUCCUGCGUUCUUUUCACCUGGUGUAGUAACUGUAAUGGCCAUGUGAGCUAUCAAUGUUCAUUGUAUCUUUUUUUCUAAGACAUAAAAUAAAAUCUAUUUUAUAAAUAAAUAAAUAAAUAAAAAUUU